Long non-coding RNA from Neltuma alba, 173 nucleotides. RefSeq lists it as uncharacterized. The transcript has 2 exons. Lineage: Eukaryota; Viridiplantae; Streptophyta; Magnoliopsida; Fabales; Fabaceae. The record is from RefSeq and is a predicted model, not a curated record.
AAGUUGGCUCUGUCCUCGUCUGGAAUUAUGUUCUUGAUGGCAAGACCUGCGUGGCCAAGACUGUGAUUGAAGCCAUAGACCCAGCAAAGAACUCAAUCACUUUGAAGAUAAUAGAAGGCGAUGUACUUGAACAUCUCAAGAGCUUCAAAGCCACGAUUCAAGCCAUUCCAAAG